GUGGGUGAGGAGAGUAUCCUAAGGCCAGCGAGAGAACUGUUGUUAAGGAACUCGGCAAAAUGACCCCGUAACUUAGGGAUAAGGGGUGCCACCAUCAGGUGGCCGCAGAGAAUAGGCCCAAGCGACUGUUUACCAAAAACAUAGGUUUCUGCUAAGUCGCAAGACGAUGUAUAGGAGCUGACGCCUGCCCGGUGCUGGAAGGUUAAGGGGAUCUGUUAGAGCAAUCGAAGCAGUGAACUUAAGCCCCAGUAAACGGCGGCCGUAACUAUAACGGUCCUAAGGUAGCGAAAUUCCUUGUCGGGUAAGUUCCGACCCGCACGAAAGGCGUAACGAUUUGGGCACUGUCUCAACAACAGACUCGGUGAAAUUGUAAUUCCGGUGAAGAUGCCGGAUACCUGCGACAGGACGGAAAGACCCCAUGGAGCUUUACUGUAGCUUGACAUUGGGUCUUGGUACUACAUGUACAGGAUAGGUGGGAGGCUUUGAAACCAGGACGCCAGUUUUGGCGGAGCCAUCCUUGGGAUACCACCCUUGUAGUACUGGGACUCUAACCAUAGGCCAUGAAUCUGGUCUUGGGACACUGUCAGGUGGGCAGUUUGACUGGGGCGGUCGCCUCCCAAAAGGUAACGGAGGCGCUCAAAGGUUCUCUCAGUACGGUCGGAAAUCGUACGUAGAGUGUAAAGGCAAAAGAGAGCUUGAUUGCAAGACAUACAGGUCGAGCAAGGAUGAAAAUCGGACUUAGUGAUCCGGUGGUUCUGCGUGGAAGGGCCAUCGCUCAACGGAUAAAAGCUACCCUGGGGAUAACAGGCUUAUCUCCCCCAAGAGUCCACAUCGACGGGGAGGUUUGGCACCUCGAUGUCGGCUCAUCACAUCCUGGGGCUGUAGUAGGUCCCAAGGGUUGGGCUGUUCGCCCAUUAAAGUGGUACGCGAGCUGGGUUCAGAACGUCGUGAGACAGUUCGGUCCCUAUCCGUCGCAGGCGUAGGAAAUUUGAGAAGACCUGUCCUUAGUACGAGAGGACCGGGAUGGACGUACCUCUGGUGUACCAGUUGUCUGCCAAGGGCAUGGCUGGGAGCUAUGUACGGAAUGGAUAAGCGCUGAAAGCAUCUAAGCGCGAAGCCAACUUCAAGAUAAGAUUUCCCACCGCAAGGGUAAGACCCCAGAAAGACUAUCUGGUUGAUAGGUCGAAGGUGUAAGUGCAGCAAUGUAUUUAGCUUAUCGAUACUAAUAGGUCGAGGACUUGACCA
RNAcentral lists this ribosomal RNA (1245 nucleotides) under Clostridioides difficile CD39. RNAcentral describes it as "bacterial LSU rRNA". It matches the Rfam family "Bacterial large subunit ribosomal RNA", at positions 1663 to 2925 of the family's 2925-position model. The record is from RNAcentral. Lineage: Bacteria; Bacillati; Bacillota; Clostridia; Peptostreptococcales; Peptostreptococcaceae.